This 460-nucleotide ribosomal RNA is filed under the name uncultured bacterium. Its description in RNAcentral is "partial 16S ribosomal RNA". It matches the Rfam family "Bacterial small subunit ribosomal RNA", at positions 338 to 795 of the family's 1533-position model. The record is from RNAcentral.
CCUACGGGAGGCAGCAGUGAGGAAUAUUGGUCAAUGGACGAGAGUCUGAACCAGCCAAGUAGCGUGAAGGAUGACUGCCCUAUGGGUUGUAAACUUCUUUUAUAAAGGAAUAAAACGCGGCACGUGUGCCUUUUUGCAUGUACUUUAUGAAUAAGGAUCGGCUAACUCCGUGCCAGCAGCCGCGGUAAUACGGAGGAUCCGAGCGUUAUCCGGAUUUAUUGGGUUUAAAGGGAGCGUAGAGGGGUUGUUAAGUCUGUUGUGAAAUUUUGCGGCUCAACCGUAAAAUUGCAAUUGGUACUGGCAGUCUUGAGUACAGUGGAGGUAGGCGGAAUUCGUGGUGUAGCGGUGAAAUGCUUAGAUAUGACGAAGAACCCCGAUUGCGAAGGCAGCUUACUAAAGUGUGACUGACAUUGAUGCUCGAAAGUGUGGGUAUCAAACAGGAUUAGAUACCCGGGUAGUC